RNAcentral lists this unclassified non-coding RNA (141 nucleotides) under fungal sp. RNAcentral's name for it is "partial internal transcribed spacer region". Lineage: Eukaryota; Fungi. The record is from RNAcentral.
AAGUAGUAACUCGGUUUCCAUAGGUGAACCUGCGGAAGGAUAAUUAAAGAGAAAAUAUAUUACACAGUGUAAGAGAAUACGAGUUAUAUUGAGUAGUCAAUUAUUGAGUGACAACUUUUAGGAACGGAUUUCUAGGCUCAC